CCUUAGAGUUUGAUCCUGGCUCAGAGCGAACGCUGUCGGCAGGCUUAACACAUGCAAGUCGAGCGGGCGUAGCAAUACGUCAGCGGCAGAGGGGUGAGUAACGCGUGUUAACGUACCUUUUGGUUCGGAACAACACAGGGAAACUUGUGCUAAUACCGGAUAAGCCCUUACGGGGAAAGAUUUAUCGACGAAAGAUUCGGCCCGCGUCUGAUUAUCUAGUUGGGUGAGGUAACGGCUCACCAAGGCGACGAUCAGUAGCUGGUCUGAGAGGAGGAUCAGCCACAUUGGGAAUGAGACACGGCCCAAACUCCUACGGGAGGCAGCAGUGGGGAAUAUUGGACAAUGGGGGCAACCCUGAUCCAGCCAUGCCGCGUGAGUGAUGAAGGCCCUAGGGUUGUAAAGCUCUUUUGUGCGGGAAGAUAAUGACGGUACCGCAAGAAUAAGCCCCGGCUAACUUCGUGCCAGCAGCCGCGGUAAUACGAAGGGGGCUAGCGUUGCUCGGAAUCACUGGGCGUAAAGAGUGCGUAGGCGGAUCUUUAAGUCAGAGGUGAAAGCCUGGAGCUCAACUCCAGAACUGCCUUUGAUACUGGGGAUCUUGAGUUCGGGAGAGGUGAGUGGAACUGCGAGUGUAGAGGUGAAAUUCGUAGAUAUUCGCAAGAACACCAGUGGCGAAGGCGGCUCACUGGCCCGAUACUGACGCUGAGGCACGAAAGCGUGGGGAGCAAACAGGAUUAGAUACCCUGGUAGUCCACGCCGUAAACGAUG
Molecule: ribosomal RNA, 765 nt
Filed under: uncultured bacterium
Lineage: Bacteria
Description: bacterial SSU rRNA
Rfam family: Bacterial small subunit ribosomal RNA
Source: RNAcentral